CCAGAGAUGGAUUGGUGCCUUCGGGAACUCUGAGACAGGUGCUGCAUGGCUGUCGUCAGCUCGUGUUGUGAAAUGUUGGGUUAAGUCCCGCAACGAGCGCAACCCUUUAUCCUUUGUUGCCAGCGGUCCGGCCGGGAACUCAAAGGAGACUGCCAGUGAUAAACUGGAGGAAGGUGGGGAUGACGUCAAGUCAUCAUGGCCCUUACGAGUAGGGCUACACACGUGCUACAAUGGCGCAUACAAAGAGAAGCGACCUCGCGAGAGCAAGCGGACCUCAUAAAGUGCGUCGUAGUCCGGAUUGGAGUCUGCAACUCGACUCCAUGAAGUCGGAAUCGCUAGUAAUCGUGGAUCAGAAUGCCACGGUGAAUACGUUCCCGGGCCUUGUACACACCGCCCGUCACACCAUGGGAGUGGGUUGCAAAAGAAGUAGGUAGCUUAACCUUCGGGAGGGCGCUUACCACUUUGUGAUUCAUGACUGGGGUGAAGUCGUAACAAGGUAGGCGUAGUGCU
Molecule: ribosomal RNA, 510 nt
Filed under: uncultured bacterium
Lineage: Bacteria
Description: bacterial SSU rRNA
Rfam family: Bacterial small subunit ribosomal RNA
Source: RNAcentral